RNAcentral lists this unclassified non-coding RNA (352 nucleotides) under soil metagenome. Its description in RNAcentral is "partial contains 5.8S ribosomal RNA, internal transcribed spacer 2, and large subunit ribosomal RNA". The stretch from base 1 to 120 matches the Rfam family "5.8S ribosomal RNA", at positions 35 to 154 of the family's 154-position model. The record is from RNAcentral.
GAUGAAGAACGCAGCGAAAUGCGAUAAGUAAUGCGAAUUGCAGAAUUCAGUGAGUCAUCGAAUCUUUGAACGCAUAUUGCGCCCUUUGGUAUUCCGAAGGGCAUGCCUGUUCGAGCGUCAUUACAACCCUCAGGCCCCCGGGCCUGGCGUUGGGGAUCGGCGGAGCCCCCCGUGGGCACACGCCGUCCCCCAAAUGCAGUGGCGGUCCCGCCGCAGCUUCCAUCGCGUAGUAGCUAACACCUCGCGACUGGAGAGCGGCGCGGCCACGCCGUAAAACACCCAACUCUUCUGAAGUUGACCUCGAAUCAGGUAGGAAUACCCGCUGAACUUAAGCAUAUCAAUAAGCGGAGGA